This is a non-coding RNA of Cinara cedri, 305 nucleotides long. Lineage: Eukaryota; Metazoa; Arthropoda; Insecta; Hemiptera; Aphididae. The record is from the annotation of a GenBank genome assembly.
AGACAUGUGCAUGAUAUGAACGGGUAUUAAUAAUCAUAGCGAUUUAGUUUGUUUGAAUAACUAUUAGAGAGUAGUAUACGUAGUAUGCCUAUGAAUUUUCAACAAAAUGUUGUGAGUAUACAGUUGGUGUAUAAUAUGUAGUAUACCCUAUGGGAACACCACUACGAACAGUGAGUACAAUUUAAUACUAUUAAAAUAAUAUUUUUGUCGAUAUAAUUUUAUUUCGAAACGUGAUGAGAAAAAAGUAAGAUACUGCAGCAGUUCGGACCACUUCGUGCCCCUAGGGUAUUAUGUAUAGUGAAUUU